Molecule: ribosomal RNA, 253 nt
Filed under: uncultured prokaryote
Description: partial 16S ribosomal RNA
Rfam family: Bacterial small subunit ribosomal RNA
Source: RNAcentral
UACGAGGGGGGCGAGCGUUGUUCGGAAUUAUUGGGCAUAAAGGGCGCGUAGGCGGUGCGGUAAGUCACCUGUGAAACCUCUAGGCUUAACCUAGAGCCUGCAGGCGAAACUGCCGUACUGGAGUGUGGUAGAGGCUAGUGGAAUUCCCAGUGUAGCGGUGAAAUGCGUAGAUAUUGGGAAGAACACCGGUGGCGUAGGCGACUAGCUGGGCCAUAACUGACACUGAGGAACGAAAGCCAGGGUAGCGAAUGGG